This 492-nucleotide ribosomal RNA is filed under the name uncultured bacterium. Its description in RNAcentral is "partial 16S ribosomal RNA". It matches the Rfam family "Bacterial small subunit ribosomal RNA", at positions 29 to 507 of the family's 1533-position model. The record is from RNAcentral.
AGUGAACGCUGGCGGUAGGCCUAACACAUGCCAGUCGAACGGCAGCACAGUAAGAGCUUGCUCUUACGGGUGGCGAGUGGCGGACGGGUGAGGAAUACAUCGGAAUCUACUUUUUCGUGGGGGAUAACGUAGGGAAACUUACGCUAAUACCGCAUACGACCUACGGGUGAAAGCAGGGGAUCUUCGGACCUUGCGCGAUUGAAUGAGCCGAUGUCGGAUUAGCUAGUUGGCGGGGUAAAGGCCCACCAAGGUGACGAUCCGUAGCUGGUCUGAGAGGAUGAUCAGCCACACUGGGACUGAGACACGGUCCAGACUCCUACGGGAGGCAGCAGUGGGGAAUAUUGGACAAUGGGCGCAAGCCUGAUCCAGCCAUACCGCGUGGGUGAAGAAGGCCUUCGGGUUGUAAAGCCCUUUUGUUGGGAAAGAAAAGCAGCAGGUUAAUACCCCGCUGUUCUGACGGUACCCAAAGAAUAAGCACCGGCUAACUUCGUG